This 445-nucleotide ribosomal RNA is filed under the name uncultured bacterium. Its description in RNAcentral is "bacterial SSU rRNA". It matches the Rfam family "Bacterial small subunit ribosomal RNA", at positions 15 to 507 of the family's 1533-position model. The record is from RNAcentral.
GAUCAUGGCUCAGAACGACGCUGGCGGCAUGCCUAACACAUGCAAGUCGAACGAAGGCUUCGGCCUUAGUGGCGCACGGGUGCGUAACGCGUGGGAACCUGCCCCUCGGUUCGGAAUAACAGUUAGAAAUGACUGCUAAUACCGGAUGAUGACUUCGGUCCAAAGAUUUAUCGCCGAGGGAUGGGCCCGCGUAGGAUUAGCUAGUUGGUGGGGUAAAGGCCUACCAAGGCGACGAUCCUUAGCUGGUCUGAGAGGAUGAUCAGCCACACUGGGACUGAGACACGGCCCAGACUCCUACGGGAGGCAGCAGUGGGGAAUAUUGGACAAUGGGCGAAAGCCUGAUCCAGCAAUGCCGCGUGAGUGAUGAAGGCCUUAGGGUUGUAAAGCUCUUUUACCAGGGAUGAUAAUGACAGUACCUGGAGAAUAAGCUCCGGCUAACUCCGUG